RNAcentral lists this non-coding RNA (29 nucleotides) under Mus musculus (house mouse). The record is from RNAcentral. Lineage: Eukaryota; Metazoa; Chordata; Mammalia; Rodentia; Muridae.
UGUGUGCUCAGGUACCUAUUGUAUGGAUU